Molecule: ribosomal RNA, 253 nt
Filed under: uncultured bacterium
Lineage: Bacteria
Description: partial 16S ribosomal RNA
Rfam family: Bacterial small subunit ribosomal RNA
Source: RNAcentral
GACAGAGGGUGCGAACGUUGUUCGGAAUUACUGGGCGUAAGGCGCGUGUAGGCUGUUCGGAAAGUCGGGUGUGAAAGCCCUGGGCUCAACCUAGGAAGUGCACUCGAAACUCCCGAACUGGAGUCCCGGAGAGGAAGGUGGAAUUCUCGGUGUAGAGGUGAAAUUCGUAGAUAUCGAGAGGAACAUCGGUGGCGAAGGCGGCCUUCUGGACGGUGACUGACGCUGAGACGCGAAAGCGUGGGGAGCAAACAGG